This 253-nucleotide ribosomal RNA is filed under the name uncultured bacterium. Its description in RNAcentral is "partial 16S ribosomal RNA". It matches the Rfam family "Bacterial small subunit ribosomal RNA", at positions 524 to 776 of the family's 1533-position model. The record is from RNAcentral.
GACAGAGGGUGCAAACGUUGUUCGGAAUUACUGGGCAUAAAGCGCACGUAGGUGGUCCGCUAAGUCGCGUGUGAAAUCCCCCGGCUCAACUGGGGAGGGUCACGCGAUACUGAUCGACUCGAAGGCAGGAGAGGGUAGUGGAAUUCCCGGUGUAGUGGUGAAAUGCGUAGAUAUCGGGAGGAACACCAGUGGCGAAGGCGACUACCUGGCCUGUUCUUGACGCUGAGGCGCGAAAGCUAGGGGAGCAAACGGG